GGGGAAUAUUGGACAAUGGGGGAAACCCUGAUCCAGCGACGCCGCGUGAGUGAAGAAGUAUUUCGGUAUGUAAAGCUCUAUCAGCAGGGAAGAAAAUGACGGUACCUGACUAAGAAGCCCCGGCUAACUACGUGCCAGCAGCCGCGGUAAUACGUAGGGGGCAAGCGUUAUCCGGAUUUACUGGGUGUAAAGGGAGCGUAGACGGCACUGCAAGUCUGGAGUGAAAGCCCGGGGCUCAACCCCGGGACUGCAUUUGAAACUAUGUUGCUAGAGUGCAGGAGAGGUAAGUGGAAUUCCUAGUGUAGCGGUGAAAUGCGUAGAUAUUAGGAGGAACACCAGUGGCGAAGGCGGCUUACUGGACUGUAACUGACGUUGAGGCUCGAAAGCGUAGGGAGCAAAC
Molecule: ribosomal RNA, 400 nt
Filed under: uncultured bacterium
Lineage: Bacteria
Description: bacterial SSU rRNA
Rfam family: Bacterial small subunit ribosomal RNA
Source: RNAcentral